RNAcentral lists this long non-coding RNA (1126 nucleotides) under Struthio camelus australis. RNAcentral describes it as "lncRNA (ENSSCUG00000013996.1)". The record is from RNAcentral. Lineage: Eukaryota; Metazoa; Chordata; Aves; Struthioniformes; Struthionidae.
CCGAAAUGGAUGUGUGCCUAGAGAAGUGAAAGAGGAUAUUUUGUGUUUUCCUCCACAGAUGCAGAGACAAAGCCGUGAAGCCAUGUUAGGAACAGAUGUACUGCAUGUUUUAUAAGCCUUGAAGGACUUUUUCAGUUGUGCCUGAUGGACUCGCACCUGCACCUGCAUCUGUACCUAGUGAUUUCUGGAGAACAGUGUCACUGAUUUCAAACAGCCUCUUUGGGGUCCCAUCUUGUUUGCUAGUAUCAUUGUGAAGACACCUGCACAGCUUGCAAAAGAAUAAUAGCAACGUAGUGGCUUGCAAUGUCAAAACUGGACAGCGUGAUGAAAACCUGGCAAGCAAACCAAGGUUACGUGAUACAUAAAAUCACACAGAUCUUUCAGAUGUAUGCUGUGUAUGAACUUGCAUGAUCUAAAACAGAGGUAAGGAAAAGACUUGAGGUUUUUGAAGAGGAGAGGAGGUAUGUUUUUCACCUUUUUGAAAAUGCUCUGAGCUAAGAACCAAAUUUAAACUUGGCAUAGGCGGGUAGCUUGUUAAAGCCUGGACUGAAGCAGGAGCCACACUAGUGCACAUAUUAGUAGUUAUUCCUGAGAGUAUUUGAGAAGUCAAACUGUGAGGCGACAGUCUGAGCAGUAGCCUUUUCCUGGUGAGACUUGGAGCAGUGACAUUAGGCGCGUAUUAAGGGAGACUGCGGCUGUUGUUUUUUGGGUUAUAAAUCAGUAAGUAAUAUGGCAAGCACAUACCUUACUUUUAUACUAACUAAUAUUAACGCUUUUCUCUGAUUUAUGUAGUGGAAAGCUUUUUUCUUCAAACCUGACCAAAGGUGCAGUUUCAAGUGAGGAACUGUUCUAAACCAGUUGCAGUGAGCAGUUUGAGCCCAGAAUUAUGGCCUCCUUAAAGUCUGCAGAACAGUCGAACGCACAGCUUUCUGAUGAGCCCCUAUGCCGUUUUGCAGCUGGGGAAGGUAGCAAGCAGCUGCUUGCAGAAACAGCUCUGAAGAGGUCCUUGAGAUGCAUUCCUCCCAUGAAAGGCAAUUGCAACAAUAAAGGCCUUAUACAAAGGCAGAAAGUCAGUGCAAAGACAGACUUGAGAGAAUACAAGAUGUAAACCAAGCCAAACCAAAAU